GUGGGGAAUUUUGGACAAUGGGCGCAAGCCUGAUCCAGCAAUGCCGCGUGCAGGAAGAAGGCCUUCGGGUUGUAAACUGCUUUUGUACGGAACGAAACGGUUCUGGUUAAUACCCGGGGCUAAUGACGGUACCGUAAGAAUAAGCACCGGCUAACUACGUGCCAGCAGCCGCGGUAAUACGUAGGGUGCAAGCGUUAAUCGGAAUUACUGGGCGUAAAGCGUGCGCAGGCGGUUGUGUAAGACAGGCGUGAAAUCCCCGGGCUCAACCUGGGAAUUGCGCUUGUGACUGCACGGCUGGAGUGCGGCAGAGGGGGAUGGAAUUCCGCGUGUAGCAGUGAAAUGCGUAGAUAUGCGGAGGAACACCGAUGGCGAAGGCAAUCCCCUGGGCCUGCACUGACGCUCAUGCACGAAAGCGUGGGGAGCAAACAGGAUUAGAAACCCGAGUAGUCC
RNAcentral lists this ribosomal RNA (450 nucleotides) under uncultured bacterium. RNAcentral's name for it is "partial 16S ribosomal RNA". It matches the Rfam family "Bacterial small subunit ribosomal RNA", at positions 354 to 796 of the family's 1533-position model. The record is from RNAcentral.